RNAcentral lists this ribosomal RNA (273 nucleotides) under uncultured Stenotrophomonas sp. RNAcentral describes it as "partial 16S ribosomal RNA". It matches the Rfam family "Bacterial small subunit ribosomal RNA", at positions 524 to 796 of the family's 1533-position model. The record is from RNAcentral. Lineage: Bacteria; Pseudomonadati; Pseudomonadota; Gammaproteobacteria; Lysobacterales; Lysobacteraceae.
UACGAAGGGUGCAAGCGUUACUCGGAAUUACUGGGCGUAAAGCGUGCGUAGGUGGUUAUUUAAGUCCGUUGUGAAAGCCCUGGGCUCAACCUGGGAACUGCAGUGGAUACUGGAUGACUAGAAUGUGGUAGAGGGUAGCGGAAUUCCUGGUGUAGCAGUGAAAUGCGUAGAGAUCAGGAGGAACAUCCAUGGCGAAGGCAGCUACCUGGACCAACAUUGACACUGAGGCACGAAAGCGUGGGGAGCAAACAGGAUUAGAAACCCCGGUAGUCC